CUACGGGGUGCAGCAGUGAGGAAUUUUGCGCAAUGGGGGAAACCCUGACGCAGCAACGCCGCGUGAGUGAAGAAGGCCCUUGGGUCGUAAAGCUCUGUCAAUGGGGAAGAAGUUACUUGGUAUUAAUAGUGCCUUGUAUUGACGGUACCCAUGAAGGAAGCACCGACUAACUCCGUGCCAGCAGCCGCGGUAAUACGGGGGGUGCAAGCGUUAUUCGGAAUUAUUGGGCGUAAAGGGCACGCAGGCGGUCCUGUCAGUCAGAUGUGAAAGCCCGGGGCUCAACCCCGGACGUGCAUUUGAAACAGCAGGACUUGAGUACGGGAGAGGAAAGGGGAAUUCCUGGUGUAGAGGGGAAAUUCGUAGAUAUCAGGAGGAACACCGGUGGCGAAGGCGCCUUUCUGGACCGAUACUGACGCUGAGGUGCGAAGGCGUGGGUAGCGAACGGGAUUAGAUACCCGCGUAGUC
This 465-nucleotide ribosomal RNA is filed under the name uncultured bacterium. RNAcentral's name for it is "partial 16S ribosomal RNA". It matches the Rfam family "Bacterial small subunit ribosomal RNA", at positions 339 to 795 of the family's 1533-position model. The record is from RNAcentral.